This is a long non-coding RNA of Daphnia magna, 2391 nucleotides long. RefSeq lists it as uncharacterized. The record is from RefSeq and is a predicted model, not a curated record. NCBI's taxonomy places the organism in Eukaryota, Metazoa, Arthropoda, Branchiopoda, Diplostraca, Daphniidae. The transcript is spliced from 3 exons.
UUUUUUAAGAGAGAUGGCGCGUCGGUCAUGAAGAUAGGGAAAAAUAAGGCCGCGAAGUUGUUUUCAAGGCGGGGCUUUGAGCGUCGCCUGGCAACGGACUGGUUUUUCCACAGGCCGUGUGAGGCUGUCAACAUGGUCGCACUACAUAUGUAUUAAGCCUCAGUCGUCAGUUUUUCCGGAAGAGCAAAUGGUUUCCGGGUUUCCGUGUGGCGAAUUGGCGUCCAGGCUGUACCCUAUCGGGAACUUCCUGAACGGAGUGAGGGCCCCUAGUUUAUCAUGUUGAGGGAUGCGAGUCACUUGAUACUGAUGAUGAACGACAAAAUGUUCGUUCAGGAACCAAAGGCUGUUCCUGUGACAUCCUCAAUCGAGACCCGUACAAUAACUGCCAUUUCCGCAUCCACUUCGAAAGUCAAUACCGGUACGUUGUUUCAGCUUCUUUUCCCCACAACUGCGCCAGCCGUGCAGAACUCUACUCUUAUUAUUCGUUAUCACCUUAUUAUUAUAUUGUUAUAUUAUCUUAUUAUUCAUUAUUCGGCAGCACCGUCUCCUAGAGAAUGACGUCACCUAUACAAUCUCGACAAGUCUCUCUAAUUCCCCAAAUAUUUUGAUCUUGUUCGCUCUCUUGGCCGUGAAAUCACUCAUUGCCCUUCGUUUCCUGCUUCAACGAAAAUUAGACUUGAAAAUUUUGAAAGUUAUAUGAAUUGAGGAUGAAUUUUCGCUUUUCAAAUCGUAGGAAAUGCAUGCCGCUGUGUUUUUCUGAUACGAUAACGGCUGUCAGCCGACUGUCAAAUUCUUCUUCGACAAGGUGGUUAUUGAAAUGGAUGGCUAAUAUGAUUUUUCUAACUUAAGCAACAUUCAAAUAACUGUAUUCGUCUACCGCCGGAUGCUGGACAGAGACGCAGGCAUAUGCAAAGCCGUUGCCGUUUGGGUGAGGCUAAGCAGCCUAUUGAGCUUGAGGUGGCCGAACAUUAACAAUUUAUCACGCGAUCAGAAGAAAACAUUUAUGGAACAUGGAAACCCGAUCGCUUGCAUUAUCGUAUUACGAGCUACCCGGAAUGCGAGGUAGCAUUUCUCUUUGUCGUCAAUUUUUCUCGCGUUUGCUGUUCAAUCAAUAAUGUUUUGAGCAACAGAUGAAACGGCACAAGAAUAGGCUUCCAAUGGCUUCUAUCAUGAUAGGACAACAGGGCAGUGGAAAUGAGCUUACCUAUCGAACGUAUAAUAGGGGAUUAUUAAACCUAGGUCAUCAGUUCAGCCCGUCUAACCGAUUGAGCCCUGAACGGGUUAUUCCGUGGCGGGGUGGGGACCCCGAUUAGAACCACUCAAGGCAGACCACCAUAUACGUGUUACAUCCAAUUAUGCGUUUCAUAAAUUAAUACUACAAUUUUUUAAAGGUUUACUUUAACAAUAUUAAAGGUCUUGCAUGUGCGUGAAUAAAUAUUCAGGUAAAGAUUAAGUAACGAUCAUUGUUACACAUUAUUUAUCCUUGAGUUUUUAUUCAGGCACAUGCAGGCUUUAUUUAAAUGAGCUAUAUCUAAGAAUGAAUAAAAAAGUGGGAUCAUCGGUCAAAUUACCGGCCAGAGGCACCGGUAAUCCGUGUUGACUCCUAGCUUCCUCCAGGAACCGAGGACAUCCAUGGUCACCUCGCCCCGCCCUAGAUGGGGUGGGUGGGUGGGGCGCCCCGAUAGGAGUCAAUCGGGGCCGAUCGCUAUUUACGUAUUACAUAUGCAUUUUAUCAAAUAAUACUACAAUUUCGUCUAGAUUUAUCGUAAUCCUAUAAAAGAGCGUGAAAAUCCAAAUAAUGUUCAUUUAUUUAGUUUCAAGUAAUGGAAGAAAAUACCCGUAAUCUUCAAAUAGCCGGCUCCAGAAGAUCCUCAGAGUUAAAGUCAUGGUUUAACUUAAGCGGCCUUCAGGGUUAAGACAAGUAAUUUGGCAUGUGAAGCUAACAUUGGCAGGGCUCCCAAUUGGCGCCCCAUCAUCAUCCAUAACCAUACUUGGUGGAAGAUGAGCGAAACCACCAAUUUUUUUCCCGUUCCUUUUCCUAUUCUUUGGCUAACGCAUCAACGAAUAAACCAUAAAGAGAGUUAAGUCUCCAUGCGGAAUAACGACUUGACGUCACUCGCAUUCACAGCCGUCAUAACGUGGAUGCGGGAACUAAAUCCCUGAGAGAUUUUACUUUGGUAAAGAUGGAAGGCUAUGCCGUGGUUAUGCGCCCCAAACUGUUUAUUGUUUCCCUGGGGGUUCCAGCCGUUCUGUGAUUGGCUGAAAUUGGGCAGAAUUAUCGCGUGUAAACUGGGGAACUUUUCGUUUUCGUUUAUUUUUUAUUCGAUUCGCCGUGUUAAACUACGUGUCUGAGCAGAAUUUCAAAUCUGUUGGUGUUUGUGUUCAUUUUAU